GACGAACGCUGGCGGCGUGCUUAACACAUGCAAGUCGAACGGAAAGGCCCUGCUUUUGUGGGGUGCUCGAGUGGCGAAAGGGUGACUAACACGUGAGUUACCCUCCCCUUCCUUUGGGAUAACUUCAGGAAACUGGGGCUAAUACCGGGUAGGAGUUCCUGCUGCAUGGUGGGGGUUGGCAAGUUGCGGCGGUUGGGGAUGAACUCGCGGCUGAUCGGCUGGUUGGUGGGGUGCUGGCUUACCAAGUGUUUGACGGGCAGCCGGCCUGAGGGGGUGACCGGCAACAUGGGGACGGAGUUAGGGCCAAGCCUCCACGGGGAGGCAGCAGGGGGGAAAAUUGCAAAAUGGCGGGAAGCCGGUUGCGGCAACGCCGCGGGGGGGAUGACGCCCUUCGGGUGGUAAACCGCCUUCGCCGGUGAGGAGGCGGGAGUGACGGUAACGGGUGAAGAAGCACCGGCUAACUACGUG
RNAcentral lists this ribosomal RNA (468 nucleotides) under uncultured bacterium. RNAcentral's name for it is "partial 16S ribosomal RNA". It matches the Rfam family "Bacterial small subunit ribosomal RNA", at positions 28 to 507 of the family's 1533-position model. The record is from RNAcentral.